GACGAACGCUGGCGGCGUGCUUAACACAUGCAAGUCGAACGGGCCUGUCUUCUUUUUUGGGGGUGGGUUGAGUGGCGAACGGGUGAGUAUCACGUGAGUAACCUGCCCUUCGGUCCUGGAUAACCGCUUGAAAGGGCGGCUAAUACGGGGUGGUCCGGUUGGUCCGCAUGGGCUGGUCGGGAUAGAUUCACUGUUUUUGGUGUUUCGGCGGGGGAUGGGCUCGCGGCCUAUCAGCUUGUUGGUGGGGUGAUGGCCUACCAAGGCGGUGACGGGUUGCCGGACUGAGAGGGUGGGCGGCCACACUGGGACUGAGAUACGGCCCAGACGACUGCGGGAGGCAGCAGUGGGGGGUAUUGCACAAUGGGCGGAAGCCUGAUGCAGCGACGUCGCGUGAGGGAUGGAGGCCUUCGGGUUGUGAACCUCUGUUUCCGGUGGUGAAGGCCCUGUCCGUGUGGUGGGGUUGACGGUAGCCGGGGAUGAAGCGCCGGCUAACUACGUG
RNAcentral lists this ribosomal RNA (499 nucleotides) under uncultured bacterium. RNAcentral describes it as "partial 16S ribosomal RNA". It matches the Rfam family "Bacterial small subunit ribosomal RNA", at positions 28 to 507 of the family's 1533-position model. The record is from RNAcentral.